AGAACGAACGCUGGCGGCAUGCCUAACACAUGCAAGUCGAACGAACCCUUCGGGGUUAGUGGCGCACGGGUGCGUAACGCGUGGGAACCUACCAUCAGGUUCGGAAUAACAGUUAGAAAUGACUGUUAAUACCGGAUAAUGUCCUCGGACCAAAGAUUUAUCGCCUUUUGAUGGGCCCGCGUUGGAUUAGCUAGUUGGUAAGGUAAAGCUUACCAAGGCGACGAUCCAUAGCUGGUCUGAGAGGAUGGAUCAGCCACACUGGGACUGAGACACGGCCCAGACUCCUACGGGAGGCAGCAGUGGGAAUAUUGGACAAUGGGCGAAAGCCUAGAUCCAGCAAUGACCGCGUGAGUGAUGAAGGCCUUAGGGUGUAAGCUCUUUACGUGGGGAUGUAUAAGUG
This 400-nucleotide ribosomal RNA is filed under the name uncultured soil bacterium. RNAcentral describes it as "bacterial SSU rRNA". It matches the Rfam family "Bacterial small subunit ribosomal RNA", at positions 26 to 455 of the family's 1533-position model. The record is from RNAcentral.